GACGAACGCUGGCGGCGUGCUUAACACAUGCAAGUCGAACGGAGAGGCCCUGCUUUUGUGGGGUGCUCGAGUGGCGAACGGGUGAGUAACACGUGAGUAACCUGCCCUUGACUUUGGGAUAACUUCAGGAAACUGGGGCUAAUACCGGAUAGGAGCUCCUGCUGCAUGGUGGGGGUUGGAAAGUUUCGGCGGUUGGGGAUGGACUCGCGGCUUAUCAGCUUGUUGGUGGGGUAGUGGCUUACCAAGGCUUUGACGGGUAGCCGGCCUGAGAGGGUGACCGGCCACAUUGGGACUGAGAUACGGCCCAGACUCCUACGGGAGGCAGCAAUGGGGAAUAUUGCACAAUGGGCGGAAGCCUGAUGCAGCAACGCCGCGUGCGGGAUGACGGCCUUCGGGUUGUAAACCGCUUUCGCCUGUGACGAAGCGUGAGUGACGGUAAUGGGUAAAGAAGCACCGGCUAACUACGUG
Molecule: ribosomal RNA, 468 nt
Filed under: uncultured bacterium
Lineage: Bacteria
Description: partial 16S ribosomal RNA
Rfam family: Bacterial small subunit ribosomal RNA
Source: RNAcentral